UCAAGCUAUAAAGAGCGCAAGGGGAAUGCCUUGGCAUCAGGAGCCGAAGAAGGACGUGACAAGCUGCGAUAAGCCACGGGGAGGAGCAAAUAUCCGAUAUAUCCGUGGAUUUCCGAAUGGGGGAACCCGCUUGAGCAAUACUCAAGCAUCGUGCAUUGAAUCAAAUAGGUGUACGAGGGGAACGGUCUGAACUGAAACAUCUAAGUAGGACCAGGAAAAGACAUCAACCGAGAUUCCGCAAGUAGUGGCGAGCGAACGCGGAGGAGGCCAAACCGGAGGAUUUAUUCUCCGGGGUUGCGGACAGACAUCAUGAUCAGAGGAAGCUAGGAGAACGGCAUGGGAAGGCCGGCUAGAAAGGGUGAGAGCCCCGUAUCCGAAAGCAGGAGCUGACAGUCUGGAUCCAGAGUACCGCGGGACACGUGAAACCCCGUGGGAAACCGGGUGGACCACCAUCCAAGCCUAAAUACUACCUGAUGACCGAUAGAGGAGCAGUACCGUGAGGGAAAGGUGAAAAGGACCCCGGGAGGGGAGUGAAAGAGAACCUGAAACCUUGUGCUUACAAGCUGUCAAAGCACGUUAACGUGUGAUGGCGUACUUUUUGUAGAACGGUCCGGCGAGUUAUAGUAACGAGCGAGCUUAAGGCAUUCAGUGCCGGAGGCGAAGCGAGAGCGAGUCUGAAUAGGGCGUAAAGUUCGUUGCCAUAGACCCGAAACCGGGUGACCUACCCAUGAGCAGGUUGAAGUGGGGGUGAAACCCCAUGGAGGACCGAACCGACCCCCGUUGCAAUGGUGGCGGAUGACUUGUGGGUAGCGGUGAAAUUCCAAUCGAACUCGGAGAUAGCUGGUUCUCCCCGAAAUAGCUUUAGGGCUAGCGUUAUGUUAGAUUACCGGAGGUAAAGCACUGAAUGGGCUAGGGGCCGAUAAGGUUACUGAACCCUAUCAAACUCUGAAUGCCGGAUAAAUGAUGGAUAGCAGUCAGACAGUGUGAGAUAAGUUUCAUUGUCAAAAGGGAAACAGCCCAGACCUACAGCUAAGGUCCCAAAUGUGCGCUAAGUGGAAAACGAUGUGGAGUUGCGAAAACAACCAGGAUGUUGGCUUAGAAGCAGCCACUCAUUAAAAGAGUGCGUAAUAGCUCACUGGUCGAGUGACUCUGCGCGGAAAAUAUAACGGGGCUAAGCACACAACCGAAGCUUGGGAUUGUCAAAAGACAGUGGUAGGGGAGCGUCGAAUACGGGGUGAAGUCGUAUCGGAAGGAACGGUGGACUGUAUUCGAGUGAGAAUGCCGGAAUGAGUAGCGAGAAUUAUGUGGGAAUCAUAAUGGCCGAAAAUCUAAGGUUUCUUGGGGAAGGUUCGUCCGCCCAAGGUAAGCCGGGAGCUAAGGCGAGGCCGAAAGGCGUAGUCGAUGCACAUACGGUUGAAAUUCCGUAGCCACCGAAACUUAAACCAGAAGGACACUUGGAGCUAUCCGAACCCGGGCGUUGGUUGACCCGGGCGUAAGGGACCGAAAUUAAGUAGGGAAGUCGGAGAAUGACGAGGCGAGAAAAGUUCUGGUGUAUGCUAAGGUGCCCGUACCGCAAACCGACACAGGUAGAUGAGGAGAGAAUCCUAAGGCCAACGGGAGAAGGGUUGUUAAGGAACUCGGCAAGAUGACCCCGUAACUUCGGAAGAAGGGGAGCCUCGAAAGAGGCCGCAGUGAAUAGGCCCAAGCAACUGUUUACCAAAAACACAGGUUUAUGCUAAAUCGAAAGAUGACGUAUAUGAGCUGACGCCUGCCCGGUGCCGGAAGGUUAAGAGGAGAUGUCAACCGCGAGGUGAAGCAUUGAAUUGAAGCCCCGGUAAACGGCGGCCGUAACUAUAACGGUCCUAAGGUAGCGAAAUUCCUUGUCAGGUAAGUUCUGACCCGCACGAACUAUUCUCAGCAUUUUUGCCGCCAAUGCACAACAAAGCUUUCCCCAGGGCAUUUUGAGUUUUCUCUUUUUUUCGAUCCAUUUAUUGAGAGGCUUUGAUCUUAGGAAUCCUUUUGCUGCCAAAUUCAAAACUACUCCCGCACCCUCUAUCAGAAGAGAACGGGCAACUCGAUCGCCUCGACGAGUUAUGCCGCCUUUUUUUUCGUUGUGCCCUGUAGCCUUACUUUUUGGUACUAGGCCGUAGUAAGCAACAAUUGAUUUGGGCUUCUCAAACCUUUGGAUAUCUCCUAUAGUUGCUUUUAACCGAGUGGCGGUUAUCGGCCCUAUCCCCGGGACUGACAUAAUUUUUUGGCAAAUCUCGUCAUUAUCGGCAUACUCUUUUAGAUACUUACUGAUCUUAUUCAGACGUUUUUGAAGUUCUCUACAGCUUUGGAGCAACUCAAGUAACCAAUCCUUAACUUCUUGCGGUAUUUUUUUCGAUUCACUAACCAGUUCUUCGACUUUGUUUUUAUUCAUUACGCCUUUAGAAAUAGGGAGUCCCCAUCGUUGACAGAUGCCUUUCAGUGAAACGAAUGAUUGAAUGUAUUCUUUACGGAACUGUUCGCGAACAGCUUGUAUGGAAGAAAGGACGGAGUUAGAGGUAUUUUUGGGUGUUAUCUCCGGAAGAUUUGUAUCUAAUGAAAGAAACGC
Molecule: ribosomal RNA, 2596 nt
Filed under: human gut metagenome
Description: bacterial LSU rRNA
Rfam family: Bacterial large subunit ribosomal RNA (bases 1-2007)
Source: RNAcentral